AGGGCAUUGCGGCAUGUCUUAACAUGCAGUCGGACGGCAGCGCGGGCUUCGGCCUGGCGGCGAGUGGCGAACGGGUGAGUAAUACAUCGGAACGUGUCCUGUAGUGGGGGAUAGCCCGGCGAAAGCCGGAUUAAUACCGCAUACGCUCUGCGGAGGAAAGCGGGGGAUCCUUCGGGACCUCGCGCUACAGGGGCGGCCGAUGGCAGAUUAGCUAGUUGGUGGGGUAAAGGCCUACCAAGGCGACGAUCUGUAGCUGGUCUGAGAGGACGACCAGCCACACUGGGACUGAGACACGGCCCAGACUCCUACGGGAGGCAGCAGUGGGGAAUUUUGGACAAUGGGGGCAACCCUGAUCCAGCAAUGCCGCGUGUGUGAAGAAGGCCUUCGGGUUGUAAAGCACUUUUGUCCGGAAAGAAAACUUCUGGGUUAAUACCCCGGGAGGAUGACGGUACCGGAAGAAUAAGCACCGGCUAACUACGUGCCAGCAGCCGCGGUAAUACGUAGGGUGCAAGCGUUAAUCGGAAUUACUGGGCGUAAAGCGUGCGCAGGCGGUUCGCUAAGACAGAUGUGAAAUCCCCGGGCUUAACCUGGGAACUGCAUUUGUGACUGGCGGGCUAGAGUAUGGCAGAGGGGGGUAGAAUUCCACGUGUAGCAGUGAAAUGCGUAGAGAUGUGGAGGAAUACCGAUGGCGAAGGCAGCCCCCUGGGCCAAUACUGACGCUCAUGCACGAAAGCGUGGGGAGCAAACAGGAUUAGAUACCCUGGUAGUCCACGCCCUAAACGAUGUCAACUGGUUGUCGGGCCUUCAUUGGCUUGGUAACGUAGCUAACGCGUGAAGUUGACCGCCUGGGGAGUACGGUCGCAAGAUUAAAACUCAAAGGAAUUGACGGGGACCCGCACAAGCGGUGGAUGAUGUGGAUUAAUUCGAUGCAACGCGAAAAACCUUACCUACCCUUGACAUGUACGGAACCCUGCCGAGAGGUGGGGGUGCCCGAAAGGGAGCCGUAACACAGGUGCUGCAUGGCUGUCGUCAGCUCGUGUCGUGAGAUGUUGGGUUAAGUCCCGCAACGAGCGCAACCCUUGUCCCUAGUUGCUACGCAAGAACACUCCAGGGAGACUGCCGGUGACAAACCGGAGGAAGGUGGGGAUGACUUCAAGUCCUCCUGGGCCCUUAUGGGUAGGGCUUCCCACGUCAUACAUGGUCGGAACAGAGGGUCCCCAACCCCGAGGGGGAACCAAUCCCAAAAAACCAAUCGAUUCCGGAUCCCACCUUGCACUCCGGGGGCUGGAAACUGGAACCCCUUAGAAAACCCGGAUACCAUUGCCCGGGGAAAACUUUCCCGGGCUUGUAACACCCCCCCCCCCCCCUGGGAAGGGGUUUUCCCAAAGGGCUUUUCUACCCCCAGGGGAGGGCCCCCCCGGGGAAUUCUAGGGGGGGGGGAAACACAAAAAGGAAAAAGGGGGGUUUUU
RNAcentral lists this ribosomal RNA (1469 nucleotides) under Paraburkholderia sp. Its description in RNAcentral is "partial 16S ribosomal RNA". It matches the Rfam family "Bacterial small subunit ribosomal RNA". The record is from RNAcentral. Lineage: Bacteria; Pseudomonadati; Pseudomonadota; Betaproteobacteria; Burkholderiales; Burkholderiaceae.